CCUACGGGAGGCAGCAGUGAGGAAUAUUGGUCAAUGGGCGAGAGCCUGAACCAGCCAAGUCGCGUGAGGGAGUACUGCCCUAUGGGUUGUAAACCUCUUUUAUAAAGGAAUAAAGUGAGGCACGUGUGCCUUUUUGUAUGUACUUUAUGAAUAAGGAUCGGCUAACUCCGUGCCAGCAGCCGCGGUAAUACGGAGGAUCCGAGCGUUAUCCGGAUUUAUUGGGUUUAAAGGGAGCGUAGAUGGGUUGUUAAGUCAGUUGUGAAAGUUUGCGGCUCAACCGUAAAAUUGCAAUUGAUACUGGCAGCCUUGAGUACAGUUGAGGUAGGCGGAAUUCGUGGUGUAGCGGUGAAAUGCUUAGAUAUCACGAAGAACUCCGAUUGCGAAGGCAGCUUACUAAACUGCCACUGACAUUGAUGCUCGAAAGUGUGGGUAUCAAACAGGAUUAGAUACCCUAGUAGUC
Molecule: ribosomal RNA, 460 nt
Filed under: uncultured bacterium
Lineage: Bacteria
Description: partial 16S ribosomal RNA
Rfam family: Bacterial small subunit ribosomal RNA
Source: RNAcentral